This 867-nucleotide ribosomal RNA is filed under the name uncultured bacterium. RNAcentral's name for it is "bacterial SSU rRNA". It matches the Rfam family "Bacterial small subunit ribosomal RNA", at positions 1 to 867 of the family's 1533-position model. The record is from RNAcentral.
GGCUUAGAGUUUGAUCAUGGCUCAGAUUGAACGCUGGCGGCAGGCUUAACACAUGCAAGUCGAGCGGGGAAAGGUAGCUUGCUACUUUACCUAGCGGCGGACGGGUGAGUAAUGCUUAGGAAUCUGCCUAUUAGUGGGGGACAACAUCUCGAAAGGGAUGCUAAUACCGCAUACGUCCUACGGGAGAAAGCAGGGGACCUUCGGGCCUUGCGCUAAUAGAUGAGCCUAAGUCGGAUUAGCUAGUUGGUGGGGUAAAGGCCUACCAAGGCGACGAUCUGUAGCGGGUCUGAGAGGAUGAUCCGCCACACUGGGACUGAGACACGGCCCAGACUCCUACGGGAGGCAGCAGUGGGGAAUAUUGGACAAUGGGGGGAACCCUGAUCCAGCCAUGCCGCGUGUGUGAAGAAGGCCUUUUGGUUGUAAAGCACUUUAAGCGAGGAGGAGGCUACCGAGAUUAAUACUCUUGGAUAGUGGACGUUACUCGCAGAAUAAGCACCGGCUAACUCUGUGCCAGCAGCCGCGGUAAUACAGAGGGUGCAAGCGUUAAUCGGAUUUACUGGGCGUAAAGCGCGCGUAGGUGGCCAAUUAAGUCAAAUGUGAAAUCCCCGAGCUUAACUUGGGAAUUGCAUUCGAUACUGGUUGGCUAGAGUAUGGGAGAGGAUGGUAGAAUUCCAGGUGUAGCGGUGAAAUGCGUAGAGAUCUGGAGGAAUACCGAUGGCGAAGCAGCCAUCUGGCCUAAUACUGACACUGAGUGCGAAAGCAUGGGGAGCAAACAGGAUUAGAUACCCUGGUAGUCCAUGCCGUAAACGAUGUCUACUANNGUUGGGGNUUUGAGGCUUUAGUGGCGCAGCUAACGCCGAUAAGUAG